RNAcentral lists this ribosomal RNA (254 nucleotides) under uncultured bacterium. RNAcentral's name for it is "partial 16S ribosomal RNA". It matches the Rfam family "Bacterial small subunit ribosomal RNA", at positions 524 to 776 of the family's 1533-position model. The record is from RNAcentral.
UACGGGGGGAGCCAGCGUUGUUCGGAUUUACUGGGCGUAAAGGGCGCGUAGGCGGUCGUGACAAGUCACUUGUGAAAUCUCCGGGCUUAACUCGGAACGGUCAAGUGAUACUGUCGGACUAGAGUACAGAAGGGGCAACUGGAAUUCUCGGUGUAGCGGUGAAAUGCGUAGAUAUCGAGAGGAACACCUGCGGCGAAGGCGGGUUGCUGGGCUGAUACUGACGCUGAGGCGCGAAAGCCAGGGGAGCGAACGGG